RNAcentral lists this long non-coding RNA (1589 nucleotides) under Sus scrofa (pig). RNAcentral describes it as "lncRNA (ENSSSCG00065059205.1)". The record is from RNAcentral. Lineage: Eukaryota; Metazoa; Chordata; Mammalia; Artiodactyla; Suidae.
ACGAGCAUGGAUUGCAAGAGUAACAAAUACAAAAUGAACUUCUGCUUGGACAUCUGAUUUUUCUCUGAAUACCCUGGUGUCCAGAGCAAAAUGAGAAACCAUCUAACUAGAAGUUCUUACUGUUGCAAACAAGGAAACAUUCCAGAGGAAAUAUAUCCUCUGUAGAGGAGGAUUCCUGUGCUCUGAGGUUUUUCUGAUGGUGAAGGAAGAAGAUUAGUUCCCUACAAAAGUUACAGAUUUGGGGGGUUUAUUUCUAACAAUGCUCAGUGGGAUCUUGCAAGGAAAGUUGGAACCGUACAAUGAACAAUGUUAUCCACUGGGAUUUGCUAACAAAUACAUAAGUGCUAUUACUUGACUUGGGCUUUUUUUGUUGUUGUUAAAUGCACCCAAAUACAAUAGCCCCAAUGCAGUCAUUUGAUGCAGUCGGAGAUAGAACACUUAAGAAUUUCCUUCAAUUCUUCUUCAAGUGUUUACUGAGCCCUUGAUAGACGCCAAGAUUACCUUAAUAAUUACUAUGUGAGCUUUAUUAGGAAAAUUGGUAAUUUAAGGGGUCAAUUAUAUAGCUCUAUAUCUUAGAAAAGCAGAAAAAAAUCUUGCCAGCAUCUAGCUCCGUGGUAUCCUCUGUUAUCCUGUUUGGUCGGUCAUAUCUUCCCAGUUUCGUUUAGGUUGACUGAUAACGGGCCUAGAGAGGGAGAAGAUCCAGAAUGCUUGGAGAAGGAUUAGCCCUACAGAUUCAACUUCGGAAUUCCCAGGAUAUACACAGAGCUCACUGGAACAUCUGACUAGUGCGGAGGUGAAAAUUAAGGGCAUCACGCUGAUGUCAGGCGACGGGAGGCAGGUGAAGGACAGCCGGACGGGAAGGGCUGCAGAGACUUGGGCGAGCGAGCCUCCCUCAGCAGACUUUUGUUCCAACAUGGAAUUGGCAUGAAUCUCUCGCUCACUGUGUUCCACUCUGCAGUCCUGUGCCAUGAACACUGAAAAUGAGUCAGCCUAUCACUCCUGCCUGUCUCAUCCCUCUUGGUGCUCUCUAGAAAAGCAGAGUUUUGCCUUGCUUUUGCGAAAGUGGUGCUAAGAAAGGAAGCUCAGAUGUCAUCGGCUCACCUGCCCUGCCUGCGGUUGGAGGUGGUGCGGAGUGGCAACAUUUGCAGAGCUGUCUCUUUAAGAUUUUUUUCCUCUUAGGUUACCACUGCAAAGAUGACGGACUUUGCAGACAAUUGGGUCCACUCUCUUCACCUCUGCAAGACAACAGAGCUCUAGCUAUUGCAGGUGGCAGCCCUGCUUCGUAGCAAUAGACUCUGCGCUCAGCGCCCAGACCUGCCUCCUGAUGGGCGUUCAAUGAAUGCCUUGUGAGUUGAACUUGAGUUAGUAUCCAAGCAUCCCGUGCAGUGCUGGGGACCCUCCGGUCCAUGUGAGCGGGUCCCAGAGUGCGGACCUUCCCAGUGCAUUUCAGUGGAGGUGUUGCUUCUGUCUGUUUUCUUCAGUUCCCUCAGUCUGCUGCCCACUCAUUUCCCAUGACCCGUGCCCGGGCACCACCCUUCCUCUGCCAGAGCAGGCUUCUGCUUUCCACACAAGCACAGAGAGAAUCAGAG